GUGAAGAUUAGCACAGGCCCUGUGCAAGGAUAAUAUGCAAAUUGAUGAAGUGUUCCAUAUUUUG
This is a small nuclear RNA of Castor canadensis (American beaver), 64 nucleotides long. The record is from Ensembl. NCBI's taxonomy places the organism in Eukaryota, Metazoa, Chordata, Mammalia, Rodentia, Castoridae.